This 653-nucleotide ribosomal RNA is filed under the name uncultured archaeon. RNAcentral describes it as "bacterial SSU rRNA". It matches the Rfam family "Archaeal small subunit ribosomal RNA", at positions 5 to 638 of the family's 1478-position model. The record is from RNAcentral.
CGGUUGAUCCUGCCGGACCCCACUGCUAUCGGGGUGGGACUAAGCCAUGCAAGUCGAAGGUCCCCGGCUCCGGGGGCCUGGCAGACAGCUCAGUAACACGUGGCCAACCUACCCUAGGGAGGGGGAUAACCCCGGGAAACUGGGGUUAAACCCCCAUAGGCGAUGGGUUCUGGAAGGACCCAUCGCUGAAAGUGGUGCAUGGGGAUGCUCCAUGCACCAGCCCUAGGAUGGGGCUGCGGCCCAUCAUGGUUGUUGGUGGGGUAACGGCCCACCAAGCCUAUAACGGGUACGGGCCCUGGGAGGGGGAGCCCGGAGAUGGGCUCUGAGACAAGAGCCCAGGCCCUACGGGGCGCAGCAGGCGCGAAACCUCCCCAAUGCCCGAAAGGGUGAGGGGGUCACCCCGAGUGCCACCCUCGUGGUGGCUUUUGCCGGGUCUAAAAAGCCCGGCGAAUAAGGGGAGGGCAAGACGGGUGUCAGCCGCCGCGGUAAUACCCGCUCCCCGAGUGGUGGGGACUAUUACUGGGCUUAAAGCGCCCGUAGCCGGCCGGGUGUGUCCUCCGUUAAAUCCACGGGCCUAACCCGUGGGCUGCGGAGGAUACUACCCGGCUUGGGGGUGGGAGAGGGCGGCGGUAUUCCCGGGGUAGGGGUAAAAU